RNAcentral lists this ribosomal RNA (157 nucleotides) under Streptococcus dysgalactiae subsp. equisimilis. Its description in RNAcentral is "partial 23S ribosomal RNA". It matches the Rfam family "Bacterial large subunit ribosomal RNA", at positions 1 to 155 of the family's 2925-position model. The record is from RNAcentral. Lineage: Bacteria; Bacillati; Bacillota; Bacilli; Lactobacillales; Streptococcaceae.
GAUAAGGUUAAGUUAAUAAGGGCGCACGGUGGAUGCCUUGGCACUAGAAGCCGAAGAAGGACGUGACUAACGACGAAAUGCUUUGGGGAGCUGUAAGUAAGCGCUGAUCCAGAGAUGUCCGAAUGGGGRAACCCACUAGCUACUGGCUAGUAUCCAU